Molecule: small RNA, 122 nt
Filed under: Allorhizobium borbori
Lineage: Bacteria; Pseudomonadati; Pseudomonadota; Alphaproteobacteria; Hyphomicrobiales; Rhizobiaceae
Description: Rhizobium borbori Rhizobiales sRNA Atu_C8
Rfam family: Rhizobiales sRNA Atu_C8
Source: Rfam by way of RNAcentral
GAAAAAUUUCGCAAACCUUAUCGUAGUGGGACGGCGCAUGGGCAGGAUGGUGUAACCAUCCGGCGGUAGCCACCCAUGCGCUAAACGAGGCUCCUCCAGGGGGCCUUUUUUUAUGCCCGCAA